UCAAGCUACAAAGGGCGCAUGGUGAAUGCCUUGGCAUCAGGAGCCGAUGAAGGACGUGAUAAGCUGCGAUAAGCUUCGGGUAGGCGCACAUAGCCAGAGAUCCGGAGAUUUCCGAAUGAGGAAACUCACAUGGGUUAACCCCAUGUAUCAUAUAGUGAAUACAUAGCUAUAUGAGGGUAACCUAGGGAACUGAAACAUCUAAGUACCUAGAGGAAGAGAAAGAAAAAUCGAUUUUCUUAGUAGCGGCGAGCGAAAAGGAAAGAGCCCAAACCAAAGAUUUAUCUUUGGGGUUGCGGACAGAACAUUAACUUAGGAAGCUAUUGUAACCGAAGAUAACUGGAAAGUUAAACCGUAGAGUGUAAUAGUCACGUAGGUGAAACGAGAAAGCCUAAAGUUCUGAUCCAGAGUACCACGAGACACGUGAAACCUUGUGGGAAGCAGGGAGGACCACCUCCCAAGGCUAAAUACUACCUGAUGACCGAUAGUGAAGCAGUACCGUGAGGGAAAGGUGAAAAGAACCCCGGGAGGGGAGUGAAAUAGAACCUGAAACCGUGUGCCUACAACCGAUCAAAGCCCCUUAUGAGGGUGAUGAUGUGCUUUUUGUAGAACGAGCCAACGAGUUACGGUAUGUAGCAAGGUUAAGUACUUAAGGUACGGAGCCGAAGGGAAACCAAGUCUUAAUAGGGCGACUAGUUGCAUGCCGUAGACCCGAAACCGGGUGACCUAUCCAUGGCCAGGUUGAAGCGAGGGUAAAACCUCGUGGAGGACCGAACCACGUUGCUGUUGAAAAAGCAUGGGAUGAGCUGUGGAUAGCGGAGAAAUUCCAAUCGAACUCGGAGAUAGCUGGUUCUCCUCGAAAUAGCUUUAGGGCUAGCGUCGGACAUGUGAGUAGUGGAGGUAGAGCACUGAAUGGGCUAGGGGGCAUAGCGCUUACCGAACCUUAUCAAACUCCGAAUGCCACAUACUUUUAAUCCGGCAGUCAGACUGUGAGUGAUAAGAUCCAUGGUCAAAAGGGAAACAGCCCAGAUCGUCAGCUAAGGUCCCAAAGUGUAAGUUAAGUGGGAAAGGAUGUGGGAUUUCUAAGACAACUAGGAUGUUGGCUUAGAAGCAGCCACUCAUUGAAAGAGUGCGUAAUAGCUCACUAGUCGAGAGAUCCUGCGCCGAAAAUGUAACGGGGCUAAACUUACCACCGAAGCUACGGGUUCACACAAUAGUGUGAGCGGUAGAGGAGCGUUGUAAUCGGGCUGAAGUCGUACCGUAAGGAGCGGUGGACUGAUUACAAGUGAGAAUGUUGGCAUCAGUAGCGAGAUGUAGGUGAGAAUCCUACAGGCCGAAUAUCUAAGGUUUCCUCAGGAAGGUUCGUCCGCUGAGGGUUAGUCGGGACCUAAGCCGAGGCCGAAAGGCGUAGGUGAUGGACAAUCGGUUGAUAUUCCGAUACCACUAUAAUCGUUAUUAUCGAUGGUGUGACGGAGAAGGAUAGGAUGUGCUAACUAUUGGAUGUUAGUCUAAGCGUUUAGGGAGUUAGAGUAGGCAAAUCCGCUUUAACAAUCCUGAGGCGUGAUGGGGAAGGUUCCACGGAACCGAAGUAUCUGAUUCCAUGCUUCCAAGAAAAGCAUCUAGAGAGAGAAGUAGUGCCCGUACCGCAAACCGACACAGGUAGAUGAGGAGAGAAUCCUAAGGCCGGCGGAAGAAUUGCAGUUAAGGAACUAGGCAAAUUGACCCCGUAACUUCGGGAGAAGGGGUGCCUACGAGAGUAGGUCGCAGAGAAUAGGCCCAAGCAACUGUUUAGCAAAAACACAGGUCUCUGCUAAAGCGAAAGCUGAUGUAUAGGGGCUGACGCCUGCCCGGUGCUGGAAGGUUAAGGGGAACACUUAGCGCAAGCGAAGGUGUGAACUUAAGCCCCAGUAAACGGCGGCCGUAACUAUAACGGUCCUAAGGUAGCGAAAUUCCUUGUCAGGUAAGUUCUGACCCGCACGAAUGGCGUAAUGACUUGGGCACUGUCUCAACUGCAAAUCCGGCGAAGUUGUAGUGCGAGUGAAGAUGCUCGCUACCCGCGAUUGGACGGAAAGACCCCGUAGAGCUUUACUGUAGCUUAG
RNAcentral lists this ribosomal RNA (2096 nucleotides) under Clostridium baratii. Its description in RNAcentral is "23S ribosomal RNA". It matches the Rfam family "Bacterial large subunit ribosomal RNA", at positions 3 to 2114 of the family's 2925-position model. The record is from RNAcentral. Lineage: Bacteria; Bacillati; Bacillota; Clostridia; Eubacteriales; Clostridiaceae.